AAGAAACCUUUUGCUUUUGCAUUAGAGUGUCAACUCCUUGGGUUAGUCUCUGGGCUCUGAGAACCUGGCACAACAUUUUGGUUCCCUGACUGGGAAUCCCAAGAUCCUACCAGGACUCACAACUCUGAAGGUUUCAAUCCCAACUAGCUGGACGAUGACUUGGGACAGAAUCUAACAGGACAGACCCCUUCCUUCCCUUUGAAAAACAGACAUUCCUGCCGAAGUGGCUUCAGGCCGGAAGUUACAGCCUGGCAGAGGACAAUACCUUCUGGCUCCUUGCCUGAGACCAGGUUGCACUGAUGGCCUCCAGGUGGCUGAGGAGUGGUCACCAAAGCUCCUUGGGUGGGGCAAAAGCCUAUGAAUGGUAGGCACUCAGAGCGGGCUGGUCGGGGGACUUGACUUAAUGGUGUCGGGCAGGGUGAGUCCUGCUCCACAGGCAGACAGUGGUCUGCAGGCACACAGAGGCAUCUGUCAAUGGCGGGUGCCUCCAAGUUUAAGUGCACCCAGCUGGCCAUCUGUUCCUGGGAAGCUGAGGCCCCAGAAGGUCUCGGCAGGCAGGGCCCAGGUGGGCACAGCCGGUCUGAGACUGCUGGAGGGAGGGACGCCAUCAGUGUUGCUGAGCCAUCCAGGGAAUGUUGCCCAGUGUUGCCCCUGCACUGUUGCCCAGUGGAGUGUAGAGAGCAAGACUGCAGCAGGGGUGGCACUUGCCUACUAGUGAGGCCUGAAGGGUGUGUGUGAACCUUUAGAAACCUUGCUGCUCUUAGAAAAGCCAUUGUCCCCAAAGUUGACACUCACUGGCUCACUUGCCCAUCACAGGUCCCUCCAGUGCUAGCAGAUGGGAUUCCUGAACCCUGACUUUGAAAGUUGCCCACUCCUAGCCAAACAGGCUUGGCUUUAUGGUGUAAAGUUACAUACAGCCUAUGGGUGCUAGGAUCCUGUUAUGACACUAUAGACAGACUUCCCUCCACCAGGGCUGCUCUGGUCAUUCAGAUUCAAGGGUGAUUACAAAUUAUUAUUGGUUAGGGUAAUAAAAAAUUGUUUUUCAAAACACCGGAGCCAAGGACACUUUGUGCCCACCAGUGCUGCCUCCCUUUCUU
Molecule: long non-coding RNA, 1097 nt
Filed under: Cricetulus griseus (Chinese hamster)
Lineage: Eukaryota; Metazoa; Chordata; Mammalia; Rodentia; Cricetidae
Description: lncRNA (ENSCGRG00015038828.1)
Source: RNAcentral